Molecule: ribosomal RNA, 469 nt
Filed under: uncultured bacterium
Lineage: Bacteria
Description: partial 16S ribosomal RNA
Rfam family: Bacterial small subunit ribosomal RNA
Source: RNAcentral
ACGAACGCUGGCGGCGUGCUUAACACAUGCAAGUCGAACGAGAUCCAAUGUGUAGCAAUACACAGGAAGAUCUAGUGGCGAACGGGUGAGGAACACGUGAGAAACGUACCCCAGACUUUGGGAUAACAGUCCGAAAGGACUGCUAAUACCAAAUAACGUCGGAAGUCCGCAUGGACAUCUGACGAAAGGGAUUCCGGUUUGGGAGCGUCUCGCGGACCUAUCAGCUAGUUGGAGGGGUAACGGCCCACCAAGGCAACGACGGGUAGCUGGUCUGAGAGGAUGGUCAGCCACACUGGGACUGAGACACGGCCCAGACUCCUACGGGAGGCAGCAGUGGGGAAUCUUGCGCAAUGGGCGAAAGCCUGACGCAGCAACGCCGCGUGCGGGAAGAAGGCUUUCGGGCUGUAAACCGCUUUCAGUAGGAACGAAACUGACGGUACCUACAGAAGAAGGAGCGGCCAACUAUGUG